This 253-nucleotide ribosomal RNA is filed under the name uncultured bacterium. Its description in RNAcentral is "partial 16S ribosomal RNA". It matches the Rfam family "Bacterial small subunit ribosomal RNA", at positions 524 to 776 of the family's 1533-position model. The record is from RNAcentral.
UACAGAGGUGGCAAGCGUUGUUCGGAAUUACUGGGCGUAAAGGGCUCGUAGGCGGCCUGUCGCGUCGGGAGUGAAAGCCCACUGCUUAACGGUGGGUCUGCUUCCGGUACGGGCGGGCUGGAGUAUGGCAGGGGAGACUGGAAUUCCUGGUGUAGCGGUGGAAUGCGCAGAUAUCAGGAGGAACACCGGUGGCGAAGGCGGGUCUCUGGGCCAUUACUGACGCUGAGGCGCGAAAGCUAGGGGAGCAAACAGG